CCUACGGGUGGCAGCAGUGGGGAAUAUUGGACAAUGGGGGGAACCCUGAUCCAGCCAUGCCGCGUGUGUGAAGAAGGCCCUCGGGUUGUAAAGCACUUUCAGUGAGGAAGAACGCCUGGUGGUUAAUACCCAUCAGGAAGGACAUCACUCACAGAAGAAGCACCGGCUAACUCCGUGCCAGCAGCCGCGGUAAUACGGAGGGUGCGAGCGUUAAUCGGAAUUACUGGGCGUAAAGCGCGCGUAGGUGGCUUGAUAAGCCGGUUGUGAAAGCCCCGGGCUCAACCUGGGAACGGCAUCCGGAACUGUCAAGCUAGAGUGCAGGAGAGGAAGGUAGAAUUCCCGGUGUAGCGGUGAAAUGCGUAGAGAUCGGGAGGAAUACCAGUGGCGAAGGCGGCCUUCUGGACUGACACUGACACUGAGGUGCGAAAGCGUGGGUAGCAAACAGGAUUAGAUACCCUAGUAGUC
RNAcentral lists this ribosomal RNA (465 nucleotides) under Vreelandella stevensii. RNAcentral describes it as "partial 16S ribosomal RNA". It matches the Rfam family "Bacterial small subunit ribosomal RNA", at positions 338 to 795 of the family's 1533-position model. Lineage: Bacteria; Pseudomonadati; Pseudomonadota; Gammaproteobacteria; Oceanospirillales; Halomonadaceae. The record is from RNAcentral.